UUUGCACAGGGCAUAGCACCGGGCCUAGUAUAAAUUUCCCGCCAGUUGCCGGCCUCAGCAGAUCAAGGUGAAGGCACCCACUUUAUUCUCUGUUUCUUUACUCUCUUCCCAAGGGACUCUGAAGGCCCAGCUGCUGCUCCAGUCACACCCCAGGCAAGCAGGGUCUGAGGGAGGACCAUGGCACAGGGAGCCACCAGCAGGAGCAACUAUUGCCUGAGUCUGAGCCUUUUCACCCUGCUGAGCUAUCUGGGGACCACACUGCCAGAAGUGACUUGGCACCUUGACUCUCUGUGGUUCCACACUACCGGGCCUUCCAUGGUUUGAGGAAGGAAGUCAUGAAAAAGUUAUGGCAGGGACGGUGUGGGAGGAAUUACACGGACGAAUAGCACAGCCGAGCAUCUAGUGAUGCCCCAGACACCCGGGGUCUGCAGGGAGUUUAAACCAGUCACCAGACUGGAUAUGCUGGGGACAAUGCUAGAAUGUAAGGCAGGCUAUGCUCUGAGGACUGCCUUCUCCUCGGAUUCCUCCCAAGCCCCAUGUCCUUGAACUUUCUUUUCUACCAUCCUGUGGUGCUCCUCCAGCAGGUCACAACGGAUACUUCGAGGGACAAGGUAGCCACACCACCCACUUUCUCACGUUUACUCCCUACCCCCCCCCCGUUUUUUCAUUUCCUUCUUUCGUUUCAAUGUUUUUGUUUUAAGGCGUUACACUACCACUUUCGCUAUAGAAUCAGAAACAAUCCCUUGUCUCUCGUGCUCUACCCAAUGCUGGGAUUGCAGGUGUGUGGCACCAGGCUCAGCUUCAGCGUCUGCCCAUGUGACUCUUUAGCCACCAGCCAGCUCUGCUUCCUUCCCUGCCCUUCUAGCCUUCCCCACUUUUCUCUCCACUGGAUGUCUUUUAGACCCCUAUCCAGCAGAUGUCAAUCUCCUGCCCGAAGACACCUCAUUAGGAGCUGAAACACCUUGUCCUCUGCAGGCUCCUGGCAAUGGUUCUGGGUGGGGACCUAUAGAAACUUCUGCCCUUGGUCCCAGGCCCCGUGUCAUCUACCUCCUCGCUAGAUAGCAUCAGAUAAUGGUGUUCAUUAGGCAGAAGUAGCUUUUUUAGUUCUGUAACUGGCAGACACUAAGUUUUUACUCAAUCUGGUGGGCCUCACUAUAUCUCUAGUUCUGCAUCAACUACUCAGUUCUGCUUUUGGGGUGACAGUGGCAGAAGGCAACAAUCUGAUGAAUGAGCAGCAGACUUGUCCUCAAACCUAGAUUAGGGUGUUUCCCAUGGUCCCGUAUUGGUGCCCAUCCCCCCAGAGUGUCUUCGAGAGAAUUCUGAUAACUACCUCUUUCCCAGGCAGCACUGGCUUCUGUGCUGCCUGUGAUUCUGGGUCAGCUAGAAGUGACAGGAGGAGGUCCUGGGUUUAAGGCCUUUUGGUCUCUCCAUGGCUGUCCAGUGCAUUCUCUGGGUCCCAUGGAACACAGAGGACUCUCCUUAAAGCCUGAAGUGCUUGCCGGGGUAGAGGUGUCAACUUACUUGAGAACUGACCUCAGUCCUUUUCUCUAGAUGAGAUAAGUCUUAUAAUCGUCUGGAGAAGACCAGAUGUUCUGUCAGUCAGGAGUCCUUGUCCCUUCAUCCUAGGGAGCUCUCAACAACACAUGAGCGACCUGUUGUUUUUCUGCAUCAGUGUCUCAAUUCUGGAUACCUUGUCUGACUGUGAUCUGUCCAUCUAAUACCCUAGUGGGAAACAGCUCAUCUCAUGAUGCCUUUCUGAGGCCUGAUGGGACUUCCA
Long non-coding RNA from Mus pahari (shrew mouse), 1777 nucleotides. RefSeq lists it as uncharacterized. NCBI's taxonomy places the organism in Eukaryota, Metazoa, Chordata, Mammalia, Rodentia, Muridae. The record is from RefSeq and is a predicted model, not a curated record. The transcript is spliced from 3 exons.